RNAcentral lists this ribosomal RNA (492 nucleotides) under uncultured bacterium. RNAcentral's name for it is "partial 16S ribosomal RNA". It matches the Rfam family "Bacterial small subunit ribosomal RNA", at positions 28 to 507 of the family's 1533-position model. The record is from RNAcentral.
GAUGAACGCUAGCUACAGGCUUAACACAUGCAAGUCGAGGGGAAACGGCAUUAAGUGCUUGCACUUUUUGGACGUCGACCGGCGCACGGGUGAGUAACGCGUAUCCAACCUUCCCAUGACUAAGGGAUAACCUGCCGAAAGGCAGACUAAUACCUUAUGGUCUUCACUGACGGCAUCAGAUGUGAAGUAAAGAUUUAUCGGUUAUGGAUGGGGAUGCGUCUGAUUAGCUUGUUGGCGGGGUAACGGCCCACCAAGGCAACGAUCAGUAGGGGUUCUGAGAGGAAGGUCCCCCACAUUGGAACUGAGACACGGUCCACACUCCUACGGGAGGCAGCAGUGAGGAAUAUUGGUCAAUGGGCGAGAGCCUGAACCAGCCAAGUAGCGUGCAGGAUGACGGCCCUAUGGGUUGUAAACUGCUUUUGUAUGGGGAUAAAGUCAAUCACGUGUGAUUGUUUGCAGGUACCAUACGAAUAAGGACCGGCUAAUUCCGUG